AAGAUUUUCUACAACAUUUAGGAC
RNAcentral lists this small nuclear RNA (24 nucleotides) under Arabidopsis thaliana (thale cress). Its description in RNAcentral is "snRNA_06003". Lineage: Eukaryota; Viridiplantae; Streptophyta; Magnoliopsida; Brassicales; Brassicaceae. The record is from RNAcentral.